GCAUAACGCGAAGAACCUUACCCACCUUUGACAUGUACGGAAUCCUUUAGAGAUAGAGGAGUGCUCGAAAGAGAGCCGUAACACAGGUGCUGCAUGGCUGUCGUCAGCUCGUGUCGUGAGAUGUUGGGUUAAGUCCCGCAACGAGCGCAACCCUUGCCAUUAGUUGCUACGAAAGGGCACUCCAAUGGGACUGCCGGUGACAAACCGGAGGAAGGUGGGGAUGACGUCAAGUCCUCAUGGCCCUUAUAGGUGGGGCUACACACGUCAUACAAUGGCUGGUACAAAGGGUUGCCAACCCGCGAGGGGGAGCUAAUCUCAGAAAGUGCGUCGUAGUCCGGAUUGCUCUCUGCAACUCGAGAGCAUGAAGUCGGAAUCGCUAGUAAUCGCGGAUCAGCAUGUCGCGGUGAAUACGUUCCCGGGUCUUGUACACACCG
Molecule: ribosomal RNA, 434 nt
Filed under: uncultured bacterium
Lineage: Bacteria
Description: bacterial SSU rRNA
Rfam family: Bacterial small subunit ribosomal RNA
Source: RNAcentral